RNAcentral lists this ribosomal RNA (387 nucleotides) under Gemella haemolysans. RNAcentral describes it as "bacterial SSU rRNA". It matches the Rfam family "Bacterial small subunit ribosomal RNA", at positions 100 to 474 of the family's 1533-position model. Lineage: Bacteria; Bacillati; Bacillota; Bacilli; Caryophanales; Gemellaceae. The record is from RNAcentral.
GAACGGGUGAGUAACACGUAAAGAACCUGCCUCAUAGACUGGGACAACUAUUGGAAACGAUAGCUAAUACCGGAUAACAGCAUUAACUGCAUGGUUGAUGUUUAAAAGUUGGUUUUGCUAACACUAUGAGAUGGCUUUGCGGUGCAUUAGCUAGUUGGUGGAGUAAAGGCCUACCAAGGCGACGAUGCAUAGCCGACCUGAGAGGGUGAUCGGCCACACUGGGACUGAGACACGGCCCAGACUCCUACGGGAGGCAGCAGUAGGGAAUCUUCCGCAAUGGGCGAAAGCCUGACGGAGCAACGCCGCGUGAGUGAAGAAGGAUUUCGGUUCGUAAAGCUCUGUUGUUAGGGAAGAAUGAUUGUGUAGUAACUAUACACAGUAGAGACG